This 2660-nucleotide long non-coding RNA is filed under the name Homo sapiens (human). Its description in RNAcentral is "HSALNT0069965". The record is from RNAcentral. Lineage: Eukaryota; Metazoa; Chordata; Mammalia; Primates; Hominidae.
AAAAGAUUUGAUCACAUGUGUUUAAGGUAGUUGAAAUAAAAGUGGCUUGCCUAGGAAAUAAUAAUAGCUAAUAUUUACUGAAAUUUUAAUAAGUAUAUAGGAUUAUUUCUAAACACUUUGCAAAUAGUGUCUCAUUUAAACUUAGUAAGAUCUCUAUGAAGGCUGGGCAUGGUGGCUCACACCUGUAAUCCCAGCACUUUGGGAGGCUGAGGCAGGCUGAUCACCUGCUGUCAGGAGUUCGAGACCAGUCUGGCCAACGUGAUGAAACCCUGUCUCUACUAAACAUACAAAAAUUCGCCGGGCAUGGUGGCAGGUGCCUGUAAUCCCAGCUACUCAGGAGGCUGAGGCAGGAGAAUCGCUUGAACCCAGGAGGUGGAGGCUGCAGUGACCCGAGAUCGUGCCAUUGCACUCCAGCCUGGGGGACAAGAGCAGUACUUUGUCUCAAAAAAAAAAAAAAAAAAAACUCUAUGAAGUACAUACUGAUAUUGUUAUCAUUUUGUAGAUGAGGAAACUGAGCCACACAAAGGUAAAACAACUUGCUUGAGGUCAUGCAGUUAAUCUCUGGUGAAGCUGAGAUUGAAAUUCAGGCAGUCUGACUCCACUAUGCUAUUAUCAAAACCUCUGUGCAUAGAUUGUCUAGACUGGGAAGCCGCUGUAACUUCUAAAAGAACUGCAGAGGCACAUUUAGAAGAACAGGAUGUCCUCUGUACCACAUUAGUGUAAACCUUGAAAGCAUAAUUCCCACAUAUCAAGCUUUAAGCUAGAAAAACUCCAUUUGAGAAGAAUAGUAAUUAUCAUAUACCCAUGUUAUCUUUUUUCUUUUUGAUUAAAAAAAUAGCAAACAUCGUUGUUUUGAGCCAUUAUUUAUGGUGAGUACUGCUUGCUAAGGUAAAGGCAUUUACUCUGAUUGUGAAAACAGGGUAACUAGAGACUUGCUUAAUGAAGCUCAUUAUAAAAUAUGCAAAAUCUCUUUUUUUUUUCCUCCUCUGAAAAUCAGUUCAACACACCAUCGAUCAAUUCACAUCUCCAGAGGGCACUAUAUAGUUCAAGAAGUACAUGAAAAAGUACUGCUGAGAGUAAAACAACUUUGCAAGUUGAAAUAGGCUGCCAAUUCUUGAUAACUCUAUAAUGGAGCUUCCCAACAACAGAACUAAGUUUAUGGUAAUUAAACUCCUGGCUCCAUAUGCAAAAGAAUUUCUUCCUGCAAUGUAUCAAUACUGGAUGGAUAUCCACUCUAGAUGUCACAGUGUUACAUGUUAUUUAGACCCAAUUUUGGUUCUUGGUUAGUUCACUGAAAACGGUGCUGGUAAUUCCUGUGUUCAAAGAUAAGUAGUUCUUCAUAGCAUAUUAAAAAGGUGAGAGAUGAGCGAAGAUGCCACUGUCAUUUUGAGAAAUUGAGUGUACAGUCUACCUCAUGAAAUGUAUAGCCUUCAGUAGUGUUAAUUACUACACUGAAGCAUUCGGGAAAAACAACCUGUAAGGAGGCCGUGAGCCCUGAGAGCCAGGAGAGAAAUUUAGAUGGCCUCCUCAGAGGGCAAUUCUGUACUCCUGUUACUAUGACUUAGCUUCUUGACAGCCUAUAAAAAGCAAUUCAUAAAGUAAAAAUUAAAUCAAUGAUAAGUUAAAACCCAAUAAAGGUUAAAAGUUAUAAAAUAGAAAUAGAUGAGAUUUAAAACAGAAGAUAAAAGGCUAGAGCCAAUGAGCUAAAAGGUUACCAUUUUAUUUUGAAAAGACAAAAAAGGUUAAGAUAAAAGGCUAAAGCCCAUGAGAUGCAACACUGAAAAUAAUAAUGUAAAUUUUAUCAAGGGUCAAGCAAAGAAACCCUAAGGAAUGAAAGCUAGGCACUCAGAACAGAAAACAAUAAGGAAAAAAUACAGACUUUUAAAUGAAAUGGCAGAAAGCCCAGAGAUUAAGGAGACAACGGAGAAACAGGAAAGGAAGGAAGGAAAAAUGAGAGGGGAAGAAUACCCAAUAGAAGCAAACUAAGAACACCUGUUAGACUUCAGAAGACAUACCUGUCCAUCAUUACCCAGAUCCUUGAAUCCCACCCAGGACCCAGACAGAGUAGGGGCUCCCUACUUCAUGCAACUUCAUACAACUAGGAACAUGUAGGACCACCCAGUCCCCUUCCAACACAGCCACAGAAACUUCCCAAGUCACCAAUGACCCCAAUCCAUCAGCCAACUUUACUGCCUGUGGGCUAGCCUGGUACUGGCUGAGGGCUAGCCUGGUUCUCAGAGUCAGAAAGACCUAAGUUCAUGUCCCAGAUUUACUCCUUCUUCACUGUGUGACUUUGGGUAUGUUUUUCACCUUCUCUAAUUCCCAAUAUCAUUUUCUGAGUUGUAACAAUGAUGAAAGUUCUAAUAAUGACAGAGACACUAAUAAUAGCAACUCAUCUCUGUCUCAUUGGUAGUAUUUUUAGUACUUUACUUCUAGAGAUGGUCUCUUCCAAACACUAAGCAAAUUCCAGACAAGUCUCAAUCUUCACAUCCACCUAUGGGACCAUUUCUUGUCCCAGUGUUAAUCUCAUCACCCAAGACUACAGCAUUGCCAGCCAGAAACUCAUAGAGAAUGUUUGUCACCAAUGGCCUCUAUGUAGGUUGCUUCUUCCUGUGAAUCUCAAACUCUAGUCCUCUACAGAAAGAGGGUAAGCAGUUGUG